CCAUUGCAGGUGCUCCUCCCGAGCCCAGCCAGCCCCCUCCCUGCACUGGUGGCUGGGGGAGGCCCUGCUGGAGAGGAACCACAGCAAUGCCUCCCACACAGUCACCUUCCACUCAGCAGAGCCCUGGGUCAACAGCUCCCUGAGCAUCCAUGGGGAGCUUGCGUCCAACCUCAGGCUGGCAUAUGAGGCCCACAACGCUCACGGGAAAGAGACAGUGACUGUCCUGCUGCUGCCAGGGAGACCAGGAUAUGGGACAGGAGUGAUUCAGGGGGCUCUUGGGGGAGCUGGUGCCACAGCCCUGCUGGCUGUCUUCCUGAGCCUCAUCAUACUGAGGAUCUGCAGGAAGAAAUGGGCAGAGAAGGCAGAGAGCCAGGAAGGCAUCUCCCAGGGUCACCUGAAGGCACCCUCCUCCCACCACCUGCCCCCAG
Molecule: long non-coding RNA, 428 nt
Organism: Phyllostomus discolor (pale spear-nosed bat)
Lineage: Eukaryota; Metazoa; Chordata; Mammalia; Chiroptera; Phyllostomidae
Exons: 4
Source: RefSeq, a predicted model, not a curated record